RNAcentral lists this ribosomal RNA (492 nucleotides) under uncultured bacterium. Its description in RNAcentral is "partial 16S ribosomal RNA". It matches the Rfam family "Bacterial small subunit ribosomal RNA", at positions 29 to 507 of the family's 1533-position model. The record is from RNAcentral.
AGUGAACGCUGGCGGUAGGCCUAACACAUGCAAGUCGAACGGCAGCACAGUAAGAGCUUGCUCUUACGGGUGGCGAGUGGCGGACGGGUGAGGAAUACAUCGGAAUCUACUUUUUCGUGGGGGAUAACGUAGGGAAACUUACGCUAAUACCGCAUACGACCUACGGGUGAAAGCAGGGGAUCUUCGGACCUUGCGCGAUUGAAUGAGCCGAUGUCGGAUUGGCUAGUUGGGGGGGUAAAGGCCCACCAAGGGGACGAUCCGUAGCUGGUCUGAGAGGAUGGUCAGCCACACUGGAACUGAGACACGGUCCAGACUCCUACGGGAGGCAGCAGUGGGGAAUAUUGGACAAUGGGCGCAAGCCUGAUCCAGCCAUACCGCGUGGGUGAAGAAGGCCUUCGGGUUGUAAAGCCCUUUUGUUGGGAAAGAAAAGCAGCAGGUUAAUACCCCGCUGUUCUGACGGUACCCAAAGAAUAAGCACCGGCUAACUUCGUG